AAGGCUUCAGUACGACCCAGUCAGAACUAUAAGUCUCAAAGCCCCGACGAGUAGGGUGGCGUGCCGGUGCGCGUUGAAGGCCAAGACGUGAGUCAGGCUGGAGCCGCCGGUAGUGCAGAUCUUGGUGGUAGUAGCAAGUACUCUGGUGAACCAACCUGGAGCUGUGAGGUCUGGAUCAGGGUUCCAUGUCAACAGUGAUUGAACAUGGGUGAGUCGAUCCUAAGCCAACUGUGAAAGCAGUGACAUCCCGACAAAGGGGCAUUACGUGCGCUGCACUUACACCCCCACGGCAAAGCUCUGAGAUAUAUAUAUAUCUCUCUCUCUCUGACGAUAAAGGUGUCUGGUACGGAAUAUGCGCACGCACGGUGAUCACUACAAAUACGUGUGUGAGUGUGUGCGCUUGUAUGGUUACGCUCAUAAGCGUUGUUGCUCUCUGGUAAAAGGAUAAAGCAUAAGAGAGAGAGAGAGAGACACACACAGAGUGUGGGUGAGCGUGAGUUUGCUCUCGCAUGAGCCCCCUGCGUCUGGUUCUAUGUCUGGCGAAAGGGAAUGGGGACUUUGUUCCUUGACCGGUCCCGGCACCCUCGAUUGGCUGUGCCAAUUAAUGGUCCAUGCAAAUGGAACCAGGCCACAGCCGCUGGCAGUCGCCCGAGGAAGAGUUUUCUUUUCUGCUUAACGCACGAGGUCAUCCCUGGAAACAGUUCGGCUGGCGAAAGGGUGCCCCGUUGCGGCAGAGCGCCACGACUGUCGUGCGCGUCUCGGUGUUCCUGCCGGUCCGUGAAGACGUGGUCGAGGGGAUUGCUCUUGUAUCAACGAAACGCCCGACAAGUUCGGGACGGACCGUACCCUAUAUCCGCAUCUGGUCUCCAAGGUUCGUAGCCUCUGCAGAGUCAGACACAUGUAGGUAAGGGAAGUCGGCAAACUCGAUCCGUAACUUCGGGAAAAGGAUUGGCUCUGAGGGCCGAGCUGGGCCGGGCCUUGCCUGCAAAGCAGUACCUAUAGUGACCGGAGUUUCAGGAGUGCGAGGGGCUCUAGUAGCUGCUCGCGCGUGUGUGCGUUCGCGCGUGCGCGCGUGUGGGCACGAACGAGUCCACCGCUCCGCUCCAACCACGAACGGCUGUGACGGCAAGGGCUCUGGGCGGGAGCGAUCAAACCGUUGGCCUCCAGCUCGUCUGGUUGGCGGCGGUGCUCCGUCUGACCCAUACGGCUCCAGCGGCUAGCGGCUAACUCAGAACUGUCAUGGACCAAGGGAAUCCGACUGUCUAAUUAAAACAAAGCGUCGUGACGGCCCCUGUUGGGUGUUGACGCGACGUGAUUUC
RNAcentral lists this ribosomal RNA (1319 nucleotides) under Niphargus stygius. Its description in RNAcentral is "eukaryotic LSU rRNA". It matches the Rfam family "Eukaryotic large subunit ribosomal RNA", at positions 1357 to 2198 of the family's 3401-position model. Lineage: Eukaryota; Metazoa; Arthropoda; Malacostraca; Amphipoda; Niphargidae. The record is from RNAcentral.